AGCAGCCGCGGUAAUUCCAGCUCCAAUAGCGUAUAUUAAAAUUGUUGCAGUUAAAAAGCUCGUAGUUGAAUUUCGGGACUAAUAUGUCGGUCGUACUUUGUACGUACUAGCAUUAUUGGUUUCUCCCUUCUGACGAACCACGAUGUCAUUAAUUUGGUGUCAUGGGAAAUCAGGACUGUUACUUUGAAAAAUUAGAGUGUUUAAAGCAAGCUCGCGCUUGAAUACAUUAGCAUGGAAUAAUGAAAUAGGACGUUUGAUUCUAUUUUGUUGGUUUCUAGGAUCGACGUAAUGAUUAAUAGGGAUAGUUGGGGGCAUUAGUAUUCAAUUGUCAGAGGUGAAAUUCUUGGAUUUAUUGAAGACUAACUACUGCGAGAGCAUUUGCCAAGGAUGUUUUCAUUAAUCAAGAACGAAAGUUAGGGGAUCGAAGACGAUCAGAUACCGUCGUAGUCUUAACCAUAAACUAUGCCGACUAGGGAUCGGAUGAUGUUAAUUUUUUAA
RNAcentral lists this ribosomal RNA (498 nucleotides) under uncultured Glomus. RNAcentral describes it as "SSU rRNA". It matches the Rfam family "Eukaryotic small subunit ribosomal RNA", at positions 569 to 1074 of the family's 1831-position model. The record is from RNAcentral. Lineage: Eukaryota; Fungi; Glomeromycota; Glomeromycetes; Glomerales; Glomeraceae.